Ailuropoda melanoleuca (giant panda) is the source of this 1316-nucleotide long non-coding RNA. RefSeq lists it as uncharacterized. The record is from RefSeq and is a predicted model, not a curated record. NCBI's taxonomy places the organism in Eukaryota, Metazoa, Chordata, Mammalia, Carnivora, Ursidae. The transcript has 2 exons.
GCGAAGGCCAUGGCUGGUGUAUGGGGUGUGUGGAGAGGAGGAGGGAGAGGCGCUGGCGUGUGGCCGGUUGGCUGUGCCACACGUGCGUCCCCUUCCUCCAAUACUCUUGCCUCUUCUCUCCCUCUCCUCACACCGGCCUCUGCUUCCCAGUGAGCAGUUGCGCCUCCUGCAGCGGGCCCACUCCCACAGCUCCAGCCCUGAGGUGGGCAGCACAGACUUUCAGAGCUUGAUCGAUGCUAACAGAAAGUGGCUAGAACACUACAGAAAUGAUGCCAAGUUACCUCUCUUGUCGUCAGUGCCCAAGCCGGCAGCGACCUCAGGCCUGCUGCAGCUGGGCAUCGACGAGAACAGACUGAGGGUGUACCGCUACUGAGGCCCCAAGCCUGUCCUGCACCCAGACCAAGUGCCUGAGGACCUGCCUGCGCUCUAGUCCUUCUGAGAAAGCAUUCUCCUGCCCUAUUUGCUGCCUGCCCCUCUCAGAGGAACCCCGGGGGCCGGGGCUGGAAAGGAUGGUACGACUGGAAACCGUAAGCUGCCCCCCUGAGACCACGUAUCUCAGGCUGAAGAGAGUGGACUUCUGUGAGCUCCUGACUGGACAAGGCAACACCGACGUGGGAGCGUCCGAGCCCGGGCCCCUGCAGGACGAGGAGGAGGUAUUAGGAUUUGCCUUCUGAGGCCAAGGGGCCUGCAGGGCACACUGCACUUGGGACUCCUGUGGUUACGUGUGUAUGGUCCUAAUUCUCCAGAACGAAGCUCUGUACCCUGGCACCAGGCUCUAAUACCUCAGCCUCAGAGAGACAGACCGUUUUCUUUUUCUUUUUGUAAGUCUCCUUUCUUGAGCACUCUAUCUCAGGAUUGGGCCCAGAGCCCUGCCAGAGGUUGCUGGAAGUUGGCCCCCAGACGUUCUGCUGCCUCUCCUCCCUCUGCUGGCUCUGCUUUCCUCAGGGGUGCUCUGUUCCCUCCCCUCCGGCUCCCCCCCAGAGAACCCCCCACUCCCCCCAGCUUGAGUCUCAGGUCGCAAGAAGAAGCCAACAAGCCAUAGGAAAAGUCUGGGAUGGCUUUGGGUCUGCACCUGGGUUUUCUCUUUCUGGACCACCAUGGGGAGAGUUGUGGGUUCUCGUUUCCACCUGCCUGGCAGCCCUCCUCCCAGCUCCCUGCAGUCCUGCUUCCCAGCAGAGGGCUUCUGGGGCCUGCUGCGAUGUUGUCAGACACCUGUCCUGUCCCAUCGUUUAAAUAACACGUUCCCGUGGUUGUCUUGAAAGCUGUGGGGCUGCCCUUGCCUCUCCACUGCACAGACACCAAGCCUCUGCCAGCUA